ACUUAUUUUUAUAUUAAUUUAUAAAUAAUAAAUUAAUAAAUAAUACAAAUAUUUAUAUAAAAAUAAAUACAAUGAAAAUCAUCUCUUAUUUUCAAGUUUUGUUAGGUCAUUAGAUACCUCAUUACACGUUAAAAUAAAGUUUGCAUUGGGAAACCACAAACAAAAACUCUUUACCAUUCUUAUUUAGAAACGUGUACGUCUCCAAAAUCUGUGAGGUCAUGUCUUCUCAAUUCCAAUGUGUUCCUCUCUUUAUCUUCCAGACUGUUUCCUUCUACAACACUUCACAUGAUCUCUCUCUCUCUCCCCCCGCUCUCCAAGAACCCUUAUUUUUUCAACAUUUUUCCAAUUCCAAUGCAUUUUCUCAUAAUCAACUCUUCAUAUUUUCACAUAUCUUUACAAUUCUUUCUUCUAUAAAAACGUGCAGGUCUUCCCAAUACCUGUGAAGUAUUAUUCUCCAAUUCCAACGUGUGCCUCUCUUUAUCUUCCCCACUAUUUCCUUCUACAACAUUCCAUAUGAUCUCUCUCUCUCCAACAACCCUUAUUCUUUCAACUUUUUUAUGUUCUAAUGCAUCUUCUCAUAAGCAACUCUUCAUGAUUUCUUCAUUUCUCCCAUCAACUCAUCGAUAGUAAUUGCAAUAUCUUCAAAAUCUACGCAUCCAAGGUACAGGGGAGAAGCAACUCAUCAUUCUUCAGAGGCAGAGCAUUGAUAUUUUUUAAGGUUUACAUCUUCCCUAUGCUUUUCCUCUCUAUUUUUUUUAUUUUAUUUUUUAUAAGCACCUUUGUUUUUCUUUGAUUUAUCAUAGUUUCAUGUGCCCUUUUUUGGAAGGGUUGUUGAUUGUAGAGCCAAUCGUGUCUUUAAUGGAG
This 864-nucleotide long non-coding RNA is filed under the name Trifolium pratense (red clover). RNAcentral's name for it is "long non-coding RNA (TPRA_LNC012683)". The record is from RNAcentral. Lineage: Eukaryota; Viridiplantae; Streptophyta; Magnoliopsida; Fabales; Fabaceae.